Molecule: ribosomal RNA, 437 nt
Filed under: uncultured Prevotella sp.
Lineage: Bacteria; Pseudomonadati; Bacteroidota; Bacteroidia; Bacteroidales; Prevotellaceae
Description: partial 16S ribosomal RNA
Rfam family: Bacterial small subunit ribosomal RNA
Source: RNAcentral
ACGGGAGGCAGCAGUGGGGAAUAUUGGGCAAUGGGUGCAAGCCUGACCCAGCGACGCCGCGUGAGGGAAGAAGGUCUUCGGAUUGUAAACCUUAGUCAACAGGGAAGAAGAAAGUGACGGUACCUGUGGAGGAAGCCACGGCUAACUACGUGCCAGCAGCCGCGGUAAUACGUAGGUGGCAAGCGUUAUCCGGAUUUACUGGGUGUAAAGGGAGCGUAGGCCGUGCUUUAAGCGUGUUGUGAAAUGUAGGCGCCCAACGUCUGCACUGCAGCGCGAACUGGAGCACUUGAGUACGCAGGAAGUAGGCGGAAUUCGUCGUGUAGCGGUGAAAUGCUUAGAUAUGACGAAGAACUCCGAUUGGGAAGCCAGCUUACUGUAGCGCCACUGACGCUGAUGCUCGAAAGCGUGGGUAUCGAACAGGAUUAGAUACCCUGGUA